This 654-nucleotide ribosomal RNA is filed under the name uncultured archaeon. RNAcentral's name for it is "bacterial SSU rRNA". It matches the Rfam family "Archaeal small subunit ribosomal RNA", at positions 508 to 1160 of the family's 1478-position model. The record is from RNAcentral.
GCCUAAAGCGUCCGUAGCCUGUUCUAUAAGUUUCCGGUUAAAUCCAUUAGCUCAACUAAUGGGCUGCCGAAAAUACUGUAGAACUAGGGAGUGGGAGAGGUAGACGGUAUUCGGUAGGAAGGGGUAAAAUCCUUUGAUCUAUUGAGGACCACCUGUGGCGAAGGCGGUCUACCAGAACACGUUCGACGGUGAGGGAUGAAAGCUGGGGGAGCAAACCGGAUUAGAUACCCGGGUAGUCCCAGCCGUAAACGAUGCAGACUCGGUGAUGCGCUGGCUUGUGGCCAGUGCAGUGCCGCAGGGAAGCCGUUAAGUUUGCCGCCUGGGAAGUACGUACGCAAGUAUGAAACUUAAAGGAAUUGGCAGGGGAGCACCACAAGGGGUGAAGCCUGCGGUUCAAUUGGAGUCAACGCCAGAAAUCUUACCCGAAGAGACAGCAGAAUGAAGGUCAAGCUGGAGACUUUACCAGACAAGCUGAGAAGUGGUGCAUGGCCGUCGCCAGCUCGUGCCGUGAGAUGUCCUGUUAAGUCAGGUAACGAGCGAGAUCCCUGCCUCUAGUUGCCACCAUUACUCUCAGGAGUAGUGGGGCGAAUUAGCGGGACCGCCGCAGUUAAUGCGGAGGAAGGAAGGGGCCACGGCAGGUCAGUAUGCCCCGAA